UAGUAAUAAUAUAUAUGCCCUCAACACCUUGAAAAGAAUAUGCCAGGUUAAAUACAAGCUGCCGAUUCCACAAACUAGACUGUUUCGUCCUCAUUGAAAAAAGUGUGCUUAGAGAGUAGUGACACUGUCUUUGUUGGUGUUAUAGCUACCACAGAUGUUGUCGAUAGAGCUUAACUUGUAUUCAUUCCAAAAAUGUUUUUUAAAGUGUCUGUCAUUGUUCUGUCAUGUGACAUACAGCUCUUGGUCCUCGUGGAAUGUGAGGGGUGCCAUACAGAUAGCACAGAGCUUCCCCAUCAGUCUGAAGCACAGCGAGCAGUAAUGGCCUGUCAAAGGAAAUCAUUUUGUCCAGCAGGAAGUACAUACUGGAGAUACAUGAAGAGAAGCAGGAAGAAACCCAACUAUGCCUGUAGAAGUUUGAGCUCCUGGAGGAGGCCCAGCUCCUCUGAAACCUCCUCCAUGAUCUCCUGAGCAGCAUCCUGCAUGGACUGACUGUUGUUUAGAAGCAGGUCAAAGUUGUUGGAGGUAUAAAGGUUGUAUUCAAAUUCCUUUUUAAUUCGAUUAAAGGCUGCAUUGGUUGCUAUGGGUAACAACAACAAAAUGGCAAUAACUAAACAAUAAGCUUCUUUCAGAGUAACUAAAUAAGUUUUAAAAGCGUUAAGAAUCACUCAGUACUGUUUAAAGUAGGAAUCUCAGAGGAGCUGUACUUACGAAAAGCCAAAGCAUUCUUCACUUGGUCAGCAAUAUAUGAUGGUAAGAUGCAGAACAGCUGUCCCACUGCCGGAAAAGCCCAUUAAAUCAAACAAUAAGCAUUAAUUAAAAAACAACAUUUGUGCAAACUGACUUAUUUUUAGUAAUGACAUGCAGUUUUCAGUUUAUUAUUCAGAAGUGCAUUAGGCUGAACAGCAGAUUUCUGUUCCAUAAGGCUGUAAUCAAUUAUUUUAGAGCUGAUUCUAUAGAGUCCAUGUUUAAGUUUGCUGUCAGAUCACGAUCAUCCUGUUGAGGAAUGUGCAACAUAUGUACACAUGGGGACACGACCACCCCUCUUCACACUGUAACAUUUAGGGUACUUAUACGUGAUAAACUGUUCCCACAGGAGCAAAUAUCAUCAUUAAACUAUAUAUCGAGCAGACUUUGUACUCUGUGUCACAGGAAAGAAUUCUGCAAUGGCAGAAUAGACAUAAUAUACCAAAUAUAAUAAAACCAAACCAAUGUGACGCA
This is a long non-coding RNA of Cyprinus carpio (common carp), 1218 nucleotides long. The record is from Ensembl. NCBI's taxonomy places the organism in Eukaryota, Metazoa, Chordata, Actinopteri, Cypriniformes, Cyprinidae.